UUUUACAGAUUUCUUCGGAAUGAAGUUUUAGUGACUGAGUGGCGGACGGGUGAGUAACGCGUGGGUAACCUGCCUCACACAGGGGGAUAACAGUUGGAAACGGCUGCUAAUACCGCAUAAGCGCACAGUACCGCAUGGUACGGUGUGAAAAACUCCGGUGGUAUAAGAUGGACCCGCGUCUGAUUAGCUUGUUGGUGAGGUAACGGCCCACCAAGGCGACGAUCAGUAGCCGGCCUGAGAGGGUGAACGGCCACAUUGGGACUGAGAUACGGCCCAGACUCC
RNAcentral lists this ribosomal RNA (282 nucleotides) under uncultured Lachnospiraceae bacterium. RNAcentral's name for it is "partial 16S ribosomal RNA". The stretch from base 44 to 282 matches the Rfam family "Bacterial small subunit ribosomal RNA", at positions 100 to 339 of the family's 1533-position model. Lineage: Bacteria; Bacillati; Bacillota; Clostridia; Lachnospirales; Lachnospiraceae. The record is from RNAcentral.